This 909-nucleotide ribosomal RNA is filed under the name uncultured bacterium. RNAcentral's name for it is "bacterial SSU rRNA". It matches the Rfam family "Bacterial small subunit ribosomal RNA", at positions 33 to 906 of the family's 1533-position model. The record is from RNAcentral.
ACGCUGGCGGCGUGCUUAACACAUGCAAGUCGAACGAGAGCGUAGAGAAAGCUUGCUUUUUCUACAAUCUAGUGGCAAACGGGUGAGUAACGCGUAAACAACCUGCCCUACGGAUGGGGACAACAGCUGGAAACGGCUGCUAAUACCGAAUACGUUCCGAAAGUCGCAUGACUAUCGGAAGAAAGGAUGGCCUCUAUUUAUAAGCUAUCGCCGGAGGAGGGGUUUGCGUCUGAUUAGCUAGUUGGAGGGGUAACGGCCCACCAAGGCGACGAUCAGUAGCCGGUCUGAGAGGAUGAACGGCCACAUUGGAACUGAGACACGGUCCAGACUCCUACGGGAGGCAGCAGUGGGGAAUCUUCCGCAAUGGGCGAAAGCCUGACGGAGCAACGCCGCGUGAGUGAAGACGGCCUUCGGGUUGUAAAGCUCUGUUAUACGGGACGAAUAAUCUUGUGGUUAAUACCCAUGAGAAGUGACGGUACCGUAAGAGAAAGCCACGGCUAACUACGUGCCAGCAGCCGCGGUAAUACGUAGGUGGCAAGCGUUGUCCGGAAUUAUUGGGCGUAAAGGGCGCGCAGGCGGCUUCUUAAGUCUGUCUUAAAAGUGCGGGGCUUAACCCCGUGAUGGGAUGGAAACUGGGAAGCUCAGAGUAUCGGAGAGGAAAGCGGAAUUCCUAGUGUAGCGGUGAAAUGCGUAGAUAUUAGGAGGAACACCAGUGGCGAAAGCGGCUUUUCUGGACGAAAACUGACGCUGAGGCGCGAAAGCCAGGGGAGCGAACGGGAUUAGAUACCCCGGUAGUCCUGGCCGUAAACGAUGGGUACUAGGUGUAGGAGGUAUCGACCCCUUCUGUGCCGGAGUUAACGCAAUAAGUACCCCGCCUGGGGAGUACGGCCGCAAGGUUGAAACUCAAAG